GACGAACGCUGGCGGCGUGCUUAACACAUGCAAGUCGAACGGUAAGGCCCUUCGGGGUACACGAGUGGCGAACGGGCGAGUAACACGUGGGUGAUCUGCCCUGCACUUCGGGAUAAGCCUGGGAAACUGGGUCUAAUACCGGAUAGGACCCUGGGAUGCAUGUCCUGGGGUGGAAAGCUUUUGCGGUGUGGGAUGGGCCCGCGGCCUAUCAGCUUGUUGGUGGGGUGAUGGCUUACCAAGGCGACGAAGGGUAGCCGGCCUGAGGGGGUGACCGGCCACACUGGGACUGAGAUACGGCCCAGACUACUACGGGGGGCAGCAGUGGGGAAUAUUGCACAAUGGGCGCAAGCCUGAUGCAGCGACGCCGCGUGAGGGAUGACGGCCUUCGGGUUGUAAACCUCUUUCAGCACCGACGAAGCGCAAGUGACGGUAGGUGCAGAAGAAGGACCGGCCAACUACGUGCCAGCCGCCGCGGUAA
RNAcentral lists this ribosomal RNA (478 nucleotides) under uncultured bacterium. RNAcentral's name for it is "partial 16S ribosomal RNA". It matches the Rfam family "Bacterial small subunit ribosomal RNA", at positions 28 to 523 of the family's 1533-position model. The record is from RNAcentral.